This is a long non-coding RNA of Oxyura jamaicensis (ruddy duck), 1856 nucleotides long. RefSeq lists it as uncharacterized. NCBI's taxonomy places the organism in Eukaryota, Metazoa, Chordata, Aves, Anseriformes, Anatidae. The record is from RefSeq and is a predicted model, not a curated record. The transcript is spliced from 2 exons.
AACAAAGAUGGAAGCAGAACCAGCCUCAUAUUUAGAGGACAACAGUGGGAGAAUAAUGCACUCAUUAGGACAUUCUGUUCAUUUCUGUGCUUUGCCAUAGAUUUCCUGUGUGUCUUGAUGAGGCAUUCCUUAUCUUCUGUAUUCCAGUUUAUCAUAUGCAAGUUGCGGAUACAGAAUCUAAAAGUGAAGAUGAGGGCAUUAAAAGCUGUGUAGCUAUAACAAAGUAAUAAAAAAAAUCAGUACCUGUGAUAGUGGGGACAAUAUAAAUAUUAUGGUAAGGGAGCAGUUUUAAUUGUCACUGGAGUCGGAUUGUGUCUCAUAGAUGCUUCCUGAGAUGCUUCAUAAGAUUACUGCUGCUUAUUCUAUGGAUUAGUUUAUUUGUUUUAUGCUUAACUGGCAAAUUAAUGUUGUCAGUAGCUUGGGAAAAUACAACUUGCCUUUGUAUGCCCUUAGCCAGAAAGCAAUUUGUGUCUGCAAAUUUUCAUGCAUUGCUUUUGUUUUAUUGCUAUUAUAUCUUUGCUAAGAUAAUUAUUACUGAGAAUAUCUUACAGAUAUUAGUACCUGGGUAUUAUUUUGUGCAGUUGCAUAUUGGCAAAUAAAAUGCUGUUUUUAAUACUGCUUUAAACUAGUUUAACAUAUUCUAAUAGAAGUAUCUCAUAAAGAACCUAUAAUUUCAUGCAAAGUACUUUUGAGACUUAAUCAAGCAGGGAAUCUGUUUAUUUAAAUGAAGCUCUGGUAUUCUCUGUCUAUGCUGAAUUUUUUCAUGAAUGAAGGAGUGUGCAGGAAGCAUCAGAGUCCUACAGAGAAAAUUAGGACCUCUGGGUGUGGUUUAGGUAGGCUCACAGAUGUGUGUUAACUGACUCUAGCAAUAUUAAGGCACUCUAGUUGGCUAUAAGGUUAAAUUUAUGGAACCUAUCAGUCACUGUUUCCCCCCUUCCUCUCCCCACCAAACACAAACACACACACACACACACACCAGGAAUAAAGUGAUACUAAAGAAAAUAUUUAUUUCAGAUAAUAGCCAGUAGUGUAUAUUGUUCAGAGUAUUUCCUUACUAAGGAGCUUGAUGUUCAGGUGCAUAUGAAUUUGAUAAAAGAUUUAUCUGAAAACCUUAGGGGAGGGGGUAGGUAGGAUUUAUUUUUUUUAAAGCAUGCUUAGUAUUAAAUGCCAUGAUGUUCUAUUAAGUGAGCUAUUUAGCAUACUUUCAUGUUCUUUUGUGCAUGCACUGUUCCUUGAGAUGCUGUCGCGUUAAGCGGUGUAGCCAAUUAAGCAUUAUGGGUCUGGUCGGACUCAGGGUAUUGAACUAUCAUGGUCACAGAUUCACCAAUAACAUAGCACGCCCUCACUCUAGUCGCUUUCAAUGAGAACUGUCAUGGCUAGGAACAAUGCAAUUAAAUGCAAUUUAUUACAGCAAAAGGUACGCAGGUUCUUUGGAUUGCUGGAAAUAAAUUCACUGUCUGCAAAAGCAAGCUACAAUGCAUGAAACACACAGGUACACACCUGGUAUAACCAAGCAUUCAAAUCUUACCCCACGGCGUCCCAAUGAGGGGAGGAGGGGGGGGGAGAGGCCUGUCAACUGAUCCCAGAAUUCAGAAGGUAUCCUUCAUGAUGGUAUCUUCCCUAACAACCCCUCUCUUUUAAGCCAAUUUAUAUUAUUUUCUAUCUUGAGCUUGAGUGACUCUAGUCAAGCAUAUCUUGGUUAUAAUUGGUAAAAAGUUUUCUCGCUUUUGUUUAAAGGUAUAGGCUCCGAGAAGUUCACAGCGCAUGCUCAGUGAGGGCUGGUUGCACCUUGGAGGCGGGUAGCUUUUGGGAUGGAGGUGUGUUUUGGUAUUAUAAUGAUAUUCUAAUGAGCAAAA